Molecule: ribosomal RNA, 253 nt
Filed under: uncultured bacterium
Lineage: Bacteria
Description: partial 16S ribosomal RNA
Rfam family: Bacterial small subunit ribosomal RNA
Source: RNAcentral
UACGUAGGGGGCAAGCGUUGUCCGGAUUUAUUGGGCGUAAAGAGCGUGUAGGCGGCCAUGUAGGUCCGUUGUGAAAACUCGAGGCUCAACCUCGAGACGCCGAUGGAAACCAUGUGGCUAGAGUCCGGAAGAGGAGAGUGGAAUUCCUGGUGUAGCGGUGAAAUGCGCAGAUAUCAGGAAGAACACCCGUGGCUAAGGCGGCUCGCUGGGACGGUACUGACGCUGAGACGCGAAAGCGUGGGGAGCAAACAGG